GAUGAACGCUGGCGGCGUGCCUAAUACAUGCAAGUCGAGCGAACGGAUGAGAAGCUUGCUUCUCUGAUGUUAGCGGCGGACGGGUGAGUAACACGUGGAUAACCUACCUAUAAGACUGGGAUAACUUCGGGAAACCGGAGCUAAUACCGGAUAAUAUUUUGAACCGCAUGGUUCAAAAGUGAAAGACGGUCUUGCUGUCACUAAUAGAUGGAUCCGCGCUGCAUUAGCUAGUUGGUAAGGUAACGGCUUACCAAGGCAACGAUGCAUAGCCGACCUGAGAGGGUGAUCGGCCACACUGGAACUGAGACACGGUCCAGACUCCUACGGGAGGCAGCAGUAGGGAAUCUUCCGCAGUGGGCGAAAGCCUGACGGAGCAACGCCGCGUGAGUGAUGAAGGUCUUCGGAUCGUAAAACUCUGUUAUUAGGGAAGAACAUAUGUGUAAGUAACUGUGCACAUCUUGACGGUACCUAAUCAGAAAGCCACGGCUAACUACGUG
RNAcentral lists this ribosomal RNA (497 nucleotides) under uncultured bacterium. RNAcentral's name for it is "partial 16S ribosomal RNA". It matches the Rfam family "Bacterial small subunit ribosomal RNA", at positions 28 to 507 of the family's 1533-position model. The record is from RNAcentral.